CAGCCGCCGCCCGCGGAACGCCGCGGCCGCGGGCCCCCGUUUCCAGCCGGAGCACGUACGGACUCCGGCGCGCUCGCCACGUCCAAUGGGCAGGCUCGGGGGGCGGGACAAAGGGAGCGCGCCCGCCCCUCCCUGCGCUGCUUCCGCGUCAUGGCGGAGGUGCGGUUCGCGUGUUUUGGAACAGUGGGGCGCAUUUCCGAAGGCGGUGGCUGAAGUUUCCCCCCUUUCCAGGGUGGUCCCCGCGGGAUCGCGGCUCUCUCGCGGGCCCCGGGGCCGGACUUUUACCCGGCCCGGAGCGUAGGCCCGGGGGCGCCGGGGUCCCGUCCCUUGUCUGUGCGCAGACUCAGGCCCGCGACCCUCCCGGGGACGGCGCUGCGCUCCGGUCGCGGCCACGUCGUCCCGGUUUCCGGUUUGCUUGAGGCCGCUCGAGCCAGAGGCGCACACCGCGGUCCUCCGCCGCCGCGCCGGAGCUGCACCGCACAGCGCCGAGGGAGAAGGGGUCCCCCACCCUUUGCCUGCGCGCCCACCCGCGCCCGUCCCCCAGCCCGCCGGCGAUCGCAGGCGGCAGGACCGAAAGCCCUGCCUUUGUGGGAGCUCCCGCGGCUGCGGAACCCGCAACUAUAGAAGUAAGGAAUGGAUACUGACAGAAGGAAAGCCUGUGAGAGUUUCCACAGCUCUGCCAUGUGUGCUAUUCUUCCAUAAGGUGGAAAUUCUUCAGGUUUUGUGGGAAACCAGCAUAAAUUGCAGUAAUCUGUCUACCAAUUGCCUGAACCACUUCUGGGAUCAUUUCUUCAACCAGCAAACUAGGACACUGCGGUCAGCUUCCACUAAGGUAGCUGGCUGUCUGUCAUAGCAAGUGAGCAUAGAUGACACCCAUCGAUGUGUUAUUAAACUGAGGAUUCUUUAAAAGUAUAAAAUGUGCUCUGAGAUCAUCAUUUGUUCAUGAGCCUCUCCAUUCUCAUAUCAGCUUGUUAAUGAUUCCUUUUAUACUGUUUUUUGAAUGUCUUGAGGAAUAUUUAGUAAAGCUUCAUAUACAGCCCUACAACCUUAGCAUUAAUCACAGUCUUCAGUAGUUCAAUGAGGCAGUGGCAUCUCUCGAAAAUCUUUCACAGUUUCAGGCUGAAUGGGAAGGACAGGUUCUGGAAGGACUGGUGCCAUCUUUUCCGAUAAUAAUGCAUCUCUAGAGAUCUGCUGCUUUUGUCUAACAUCAAGGCAAAUUGGUGACAGGUCCCUUACGAACUCGAUGUUAGGGAAAACAAGAUGUGUAGAUGAACUUCUGUUUUCAGCAGCUUCCUUCUUCUAGCUAACAGUUGAAAAAACUCUCAAAGUGGAAAUGUGGCCUCUGGCUCCAUUGCUGGCAGACAUGACCGGCAGCAGCUUCUCGAAGCCCAGUUCCUUCGCUUGCCUCUCUUUGUGCCCGGCAGAAGGGGCAAGCAGUGAGAGCCCCAGUUGCCCUGGUGAUGGUAACUUUUUGACAGAGGGAACCUUUG
RNAcentral lists this long non-coding RNA (1490 nucleotides) under Chinchilla lanigera (long-tailed chinchilla). Its description in RNAcentral is "lncRNA (ENSCLAG00000026795.1)". Lineage: Eukaryota; Metazoa; Chordata; Mammalia; Rodentia; Chinchillidae. The record is from RNAcentral.